RNAcentral lists this ribosomal RNA (175 nucleotides) under Klebsiella pneumoniae. RNAcentral describes it as "partial 23S ribosomal RNA". It matches the Rfam family "Bacterial large subunit ribosomal RNA", at positions 2768 to 2925 of the family's 2925-position model. The record is from RNAcentral. Lineage: Bacteria; Pseudomonadati; Pseudomonadota; Gammaproteobacteria; Enterobacterales; Enterobacteriaceae.
GUGCUGAAAGCAUCUAAGCACGAAACUUGCCCCGAGAUGAGUUCUCCCUGAGACUAUAAGUCUCCUGAAGGAACGUUAAAGACGAUGACGUUGAUAGGCCGGGUGUGUAAGCGCAGCGAUGCGUUGAGCUAACCGGUACUAAUGAACCGUGAGGCUUAACCUUACAACGCCGAAG